GAUGAAGAACGUAGCGAAAUGCGAUAAGUAGUGUGAAUUGCAGAAUUCCGUGAAUCAUCGAAUCUUUGAACGCACAUUGCGCCUUCUGGUAUUCCGGAAGGCAUGCCUGUUCGAGAGUCAUUAACAACCGUUUCGAUCCCUUUCUUUCAGGAAUUACAAAGAGGAAAAGGGUUUGGUUAUGGUGGAGGAGGGAAAGGGAGCGUUUAGCCUGUAAAAAAAGAGGCUGUGUUCCGCCUCCCCCCCAAAAUUGUACAGGCGGUCGUGUGCGCCCACGCAUCGAGGUGUUGUAAAAGCUGCCACGGCACUUUUCACCUGUGCAGUGCGAGAUUGGCCAGCCGGUUUAAAAACCCCUCCAAACAAUCAAAGGUUGACCUCGGAUCAGGUAGGGAUACCCGCUGAACUUAAGCAUAUCAAUAAGCGGAGGA
Molecule: unclassified non-coding RNA, 425 nt
Filed under: soil metagenome
Description: partial contains 5.8S ribosomal RNA, internal transcribed spacer 2, and large subunit ribosomal RNA
Rfam family: 5.8S ribosomal RNA (bases 1-120)
Source: RNAcentral